RNAcentral lists this unclassified non-coding RNA (354 nucleotides) under Hevea brasiliensis (rubber tree). Lineage: Eukaryota; Viridiplantae; Streptophyta; Magnoliopsida; Malpighiales; Euphorbiaceae. The record is from RNAcentral.
GGCAGAAACAUUUUCUUGAAUUGUGUUAUCAAAUCUUCGAAAUCUUACAUUUAUCUGUUGAUUAAACUCUUUUAUUCUUUGUUGGUCUUCUUCUAAAACUGUCUCAAACUUCUUUUGAUUCUCUUUAGCAUCAAUAUCUUCUUCUUCAUCUGUAUCUUGAAUCUGUUUAUCCUCUUCAACAUAAUUCCCAAAGCAAGCCUCCAAUGCACUAACAUAUUCAUCCCAAUUCACAUUCACUUUGUUACUCUUCACAGACUCUUGGUGCCAUUUAAUAGCUCGCCCUUCUAGAUGUAAAGCAACAACCUUAACUCUCUUCUCAUACUCAAUCCUACACAACUCAACUCAACUCAACUA